This is a long non-coding RNA of Oncorhynchus kisutch (coho salmon), 3105 nucleotides long. RefSeq lists it as uncharacterized. The record is from RefSeq and is a predicted model, not a curated record. NCBI's taxonomy places the organism in Eukaryota, Metazoa, Chordata, Actinopteri, Salmoniformes, Salmonidae. The transcript has 6 exons.
UUAGGCUGGGUUUAUGUACAGCACUUUGAUAUAUCAGCUGAUGGAAGAAGGGCUAUAUAAAUCAAUUUGAUCCAACAUUCGCUAUUUGAUGCGAACCAGUCUUGCUAGCUAUCUAGGUUAGCAAACCAGCCUGUGUUAUUGGAUUAAUACGUAUAGCCAUAUUCCUCCAGUCAAGAGGCUAAUUAGGUAGGACAACAUACCUUAAAUUACCCAUCAUAUGAAUCUACUGAUGGAGGGACAAUAGGCCUAAUAUAUGACCUAAACACUCAUCAUAGUGUGAAAAGGAAGCUAGCUAACAUUACUGUAGACUUUCUGAUAUGUUAUGGUGUUUGAUACAGUUGAAUCCCUCAUGAAAAAGUACUAUGGAAUUACUAUUUAAAAAACUAUGCUUGUUGUAGAAGUGACUAUGUAGGGAUUGGGUAGUGAAUGUGUAGUUCAUGCACUGCUCCAGAUACACAAGUAGAGUUCAGUAGGAAAGCCAGUGUUUCAAGUAGUAAUCAUGUAGAGUUUUACUACUUGAUGUUGUUAGUAAAUAAGUAGUGAAAACACUACAGAUUUACUACACAGCUUUUCAUUAGUAAUCAGGUAGAGCGUUUACAACUUGAUGUUGGUAUUAAAUAAGUGUCACAACAGUACAGCCAGAUUACACUGGCUUUUCGCGAUCGCAGAAAAAUACCUAACAGGAAGUAUUUGGUUGUUGUUGUUCGAUAGCUAACGUUACUGUUUUUGACAAUCCCGAAUGUAAUCAUCUUCCAUCCUUCCUCAUCCUGGCUUUUAUAACCCUUAUGCUGGUACCAUCUGUAAAUUAUCUUUCCAUCGUGAUUUAUGAAUACUUUCACGUCGUUGAUUUAACUUUUCACCACAUCAAAAAGAUUGCUAGCCAAAACGGUUUUAGGCGUUCGCCGUUGUCAUAGAGAUGUAAUUGAGUUUAUCCUAGCUCUUUGCUAGCACCAUUGAAAUGUAGCCACAGUAUGCAGCGUCAUGAUACCUAAUAAGUGUGUUUGUAUGCAAAUGUACAGUAUUUUCAUAUUGGUGUACUUAUCCAUUCUUCUUACCUCUUUUGGCAUGUUCCCAAGGAGGCCCUCGACAUAGAAAUACUGGAGGCCAUUGUUGGGAAAAUGGCAAGCGGUAUCUUCAAGCUGUUGUCCUCUCGGAAGUGCAACAUAGGAGUCCUGUCUCUUAGUGGAGUAUGGGCAUUUGCUACAGCAGGAUUUUUUUCUGAACAGAGAGCAUGUCACCGCAGGAGCUCAAAUCAGGAGGCUGUACCAUGCUGGGUUAUCCCAGACAGACAGGGACAGAUCCCAGUGUCCACAGCCUCCAUCACCUAUUCAUUCAUUAGGGGUGUGAUAUCACUGUACCCCCUUUUUGUCUGUACUUAUUUCAAUAGUGUGACCAACCUUCAAUUUCUCUCACAGUUCAGAGUUCCCUGAUUUACUCAAACACAACAACUGCAAGGCCAGUCACAUCAUACCUUCCCUUGCCUAUGGACAAUGUUAUCCAGACAGGAUUGGACAACCCUGGGCACCCCUUCAUAAAGACUGUUGGCAUGGUAGCCGGAGGCGAGGAGUCCUAUCGGGAUGGAUCACAACGGCCUGUGUGGUCCGUGUCUUUUCACAGUGAAUUGUUAUGCCUACUACCUAUCUUGCUGGAACUUCAGUGCAUUUAAAAAAAAAUCUAAAACCGGUCACUGUGAAAAAUAUAUUCUAAAGCUACUACACAUAUUGGAGCAUCACCCAUUCCUUAUAAAUGUGUUAUACAGAUAAAACCUAGAUGAGGGGAUCAACUGCAGUUUUUAAUUCUGCCUUGAAGUGAAGGCAAGUGCUCUGCAGACUCUUAAUAGCAGAGUCUCCCAAUAUUCUACCUUUUUGUGUGUAGAGAGAAGUAUUGAAAGGAAAGAAUAACACAGAAGCCCUUGCUUUGUGAUCGCUGUUGGUUACGAAAGUUUCAUUUAUUUAAGGCCAUACAUUUAUACACAAUCUCUCCCCACAGACCUGGAUGCCAGCAAGGUACAGAAUGAUCGGAAUGUCCAUGGAUAUAAGUAUAGAAAUGUCAUUGCAUCAACCACCCAGUUGACUAGAACCGGGCAGGUCAGUUUGAUGAGUGCUACGUGUCGUCAUCGCGUGGAAGGACCUGAGCAUCUGAGCCUGCCCUCUGCCUGUUUCUGGGCGGCGUGCCGGGAGGUGGACACCCUCAACAGCCUGCAGGGGGAACUCAAGGAACAGUACAGAUGACUGACUAGGAGCAGCAGCUGCUCAUUGAUGUGAGGAAAAUACACUCUGCACCACACAUUGCGUUGGAAAAUUGUUUUUAUUUGUUUCAUUUCCUUAUUCUAUCACUGAGAUGCCUAGCACUUGUUUUUGGAGUUCACGGGAUCACUUCCUGUUUGAUAUACCAGUGUCCCCGAUCUUGACCUGUGCAGGAAUGGCCAGAGAUUGGCCAGAUGCACAGGGCAUUUGUUAAGUAUAAUGGUUUGAUAAAAGCAGAACUCUAAAACCAAACAAUAGAAAGCAUUUUAUAAGCGCUGAAACAUAUGGAGAUAACCCGUUGGUGUGGAAAGGCACAACAACCAGGAGAACUUCCUGUUGUGGAUCAAUGAGGAGGACCACACCCGGGUCAUCUAGAUGGAGAAGGCCAGCGACAUGAAGAGGGUGUUUGAGAGGUUCUACAGGGGACUCAAGGAGGUGGAGAGGUUGAUCAUGGAGAAGGGCUGGGAGUUCAUGUGGAGCAAGAGGCUGGGUUACAUCCUCACCUGCCCCUCCAACCUGGGCACUGGACUCAGGUCAACCUGCCUCGUCUCAGCAAGAAGAUACUGGACAACCUGCUUCUGCAGAAGCGAGGUAUGGGUGGCGUGGACGCCGCAGCUGUGGGCACAACCUUUGACAUCUCUAAUCUGACCAGACUGGGUGAGUCAGAGGUCCAGCUGGUUCAGAAUGUGAUUGAUGGGGUUAAAUACCUGAUUGUGUGUGAGAAGAGACUGGAGCGAGAUCAGGAUAUCCAAAUCCCUGCACCCAUCUCAGUUCAGGUUGAGAGAGACUGGCCUUGCAGAUGCCCCGCCCCGACUUGCGAUUUUACAUUCACAAACAAUAUACUUCAAUAAAGCUAUAU